RNAcentral lists this non-coding RNA (98 nucleotides) under Plesiomonas shigelloides 302-73. RNAcentral describes it as "Translational regulator of tfoXVC". It matches the Rfam family "Translational regulator of tfoXVC". The record is from Rfam by way of RNAcentral. Lineage: Bacteria; Pseudomonadati; Pseudomonadota; Gammaproteobacteria; Enterobacterales; Enterobacteriaceae.
UUAUCAGAGAGUGUGGCCCCUAGGCCAUGCUCCCGGCAGCAAGCGAAGGUGUCAUUGGCACCCGUGGCACGUCAUCUGGCCUGCCACGUCAAUUUUUU